RNAcentral lists this long non-coding RNA (512 nucleotides) under Cyanistes caeruleus (blue tit). RNAcentral describes it as "lncRNA (ENSCCEG00000002900.1)". The record is from RNAcentral. Lineage: Eukaryota; Metazoa; Chordata; Aves; Passeriformes; Paridae.
GACGGCGAGGCGGGAAGGGGCGGUCUCGAGCGCUGAGGGGUGGGGCUCCGUGAGGGCUCCGGGGAGGGCCGCGGGCGGAUCCCGCUGCUCUCGCGGUUAUGUUCAAACUGUCCUGUUUCUAGUAGUCCCACUGGUUCUUGAAGAUGUUGCAGACUAUGAUUAACUAUGGGAAGAAAUACAUCCUAAGGAUUGAGGCAACAUGAGGACAGCUGGUCACUGUAGCUGCAAACAUGAUUCUAAUAACUCAGCAAAAGCACAAAGGAGCAGUCUGGGAAGUAUCUGCCCACCUGUGCUCGUGGAGAUGCCUGACUGCAAAUAGAGGUGCUGAACCAGUCUCCGGUGCUCAGGUGGGGACACAGACUGUUCUUACAAGUGUGGACAGUCUGUCUGAGCUAAAGCUCAAAGAUUAUUGCUUCAGUUGCUCAAAUACAAAAGCAUUUCACAUCCUGGGUGGAGGAGUCAUACUUGAGAAGAGCCUUUGGAGGCCAGUGGAAAGAAAUCCCCACAAAUAA